RNAcentral lists this long non-coding RNA (922 nucleotides) under Homo sapiens (human). RNAcentral describes it as "non-protein coding lnc-NETO1-1:7". The record is from RNAcentral. Lineage: Eukaryota; Metazoa; Chordata; Mammalia; Primates; Hominidae.
CGCCCGCCAUGAUGCCCGGCUCAUUUUCUGUGUUUUCAGUAGAGACGGGGUUUCACUGUGUUAGCCAGGAAAGUCUUGAUCUCCUGACCUCGUGAUCCUGACCUCGGCCUCCCAAAGUGCUGGGAUUACAGGCGCGAGCCACCGCGCCCGACAGCAGUUAUGAAGUUCUAAAAGCAAGUCUUAAUCAGGAAGUGUCCUUGAUCACCAACGGCUCGCCCAGGCAUGCUGGCUCUCUUCCACUUCCACCUUCCACCAUGGGAUGACGCAGUAAGAAGGCCAUCAGUAGAUGCCAGUCCCUCAACCUUGAACUUUCCAGACGCAGAACUUUAUGCCUCCAUUUUCCUCUGCUGCAUGGCCCCAGGAGAGAUUUUAAUUAGCUUUCUAACCUUGGUCCAGAUUGCACAUGCAAAUGGUAGAGGAUGCAACACCCCCGCUUGUGGAGCUGCCGCUUGUGUCUGGCAUGAAAAUUCACAAGAAGAGAGGAAAUACUGAGGAGAAAAUGGCAGAUUGUGUUUGCUGAAUUUGAUUGACGAAGAAGUCACCAUGAAAAUCACAGUGAACCAUUUGGAAAGCAAACUGCCAAAAAAUAAUAGUUAGUCAUGCUCUCAGGCUGGUAAUUGAAAGUUUUGUUCAAAUCGUACUUAAUAUUCAAUAAUUGUUUAACCAUACCACUGCUUAUCUUGGGAAUGCUGAUACUAUGGAGACAAUAAGAUAAGGUGGCUGCUGAAAAUCAGAUUUAGACACUACUUUGAUUAUAAUCAUUUUUUUUGUAUAUCCCAUGAAGGUAUUAUAUGUUAGUGGUUGUUCUAUGCUUAAUAUUUAUAUAGCAACAAAGAGUAAAUAAACUGCAAUUUAUACAUGUUAUAUUGUUGACCUAUGCUAAAAGUUAAUUACCAUAAUGAAAUGGUUUGGCUGUGUCCCC